RNAcentral lists this ribosomal RNA (292 nucleotides) under uncultured bacterium. RNAcentral's name for it is "partial 16S ribosomal RNA". It matches the Rfam family "Bacterial small subunit ribosomal RNA", at positions 505 to 796 of the family's 1533-position model. The record is from RNAcentral.
GUGCCAGCAGCCGCGGUAAUACGUAGGGUGCGAGCGUUGUUCGGAGUUAUUGGGCGUAAAGGGCGUGUAGGCGGCUUGAGAAGUCUGAUUUGAAAUGCACUGGCUCAACUGGUGCGCUGGGUCAGAAACUGGCAGGCUAGAGUUCAUAGGGAGGAACUGGAAUUCCAGGUGUAGGGGUGAAAUCUGUAGAGAUCUGGAAGAACACCGGUAGCGAAGGCGGGUUCCUAUGGAUGGACUGACGCUGAGGCGCGAAAGCGUGGGGAGCGAACAGGAUUAGAAACCCCCGUAGUCC